AGCUGGGUAUGGUGGUGCGUGCCUGUAAUCUCAGCUACUCGGGAGGCUGAGGCAGGAGGAUCACUUGAGCCCAGAAGUUUUGAGACAGCAGUGAGCUCUGAGGGUACCACUGCACUCCAGCAUGGGCAACAGAGUGAGAUUGUAUCUC
Molecule: long non-coding RNA, 148 nt
Organism: Cebus imitator (Panamanian white-faced capuchin)
Lineage: Eukaryota; Metazoa; Chordata; Mammalia; Primates; Cebidae
Exons: 2
Source: RefSeq, a predicted model, not a curated record